Ornithorhynchus anatinus (platypus) is the source of this 72-nucleotide non-coding RNA. The record is from Rfam. NCBI's taxonomy places the organism in Eukaryota, Metazoa, Chordata, Mammalia, Monotremata, Ornithorhynchidae.
NGCAGCGUGGCUCAAUGAAAAGAGCAUGGGCUUGGGAGUCAGAGGUCAUGGGUUCUAAUCCCAACUCUGCAA